This 253-nucleotide ribosomal RNA is filed under the name uncultured bacterium. RNAcentral's name for it is "partial 16S ribosomal RNA". It matches the Rfam family "Bacterial small subunit ribosomal RNA", at positions 524 to 776 of the family's 1533-position model. The record is from RNAcentral.
UACGUAGGGUGCGAGCGUUGCCCGGAUUUAUUGGGCGUAAAGGGCGCGCAGGCGGCCACGCGCGUCCGUUGUGAAAUCGCUCGGCUCAACUGGGCGAGGUCGGCGGAUACGGCGUGGCUAGAGCAAGCUAGGGGGCAAUGGAAUUCCCGGUGUAGUGGUGGAAUGCGUAGAUAUCGGGAGGAACACCAGUGGCGAAGGCGGUUGCCUGGAGCUUUGCUGACGCUCAUGCGCGAAAGCGUGGGGAGCGAUCCGG